GGCCGCGGGAUUAGAGUUUGAUCCUGGCUCAGAUUGAACGCUGGCGGCAGGCCUAAUACAUGCAAGUCGAGCGGAAACGAUGGGAGCUUGCUCCCAGGCGUCGAGCGGCGGACGGGUAAGUAACGCGUAGGAAUUUGCCCAAUAGAGGGGGAUAGCCCGAGGAAACUCGGAUUAAUACCGCAUACGCCCUACGGGGGAAAGGCUGGGAUCUUCGGACCAGCCACUAUUGGAGAAGCCUGCGUAAGAUUAGCUUGUUGGUGGGGUAAAGGCCUACCAAGGCGACGAUCUUUAGCUGGUCUGAGAGGAUGAUCAGCCACACUGGGACUGAGACACGGCCCAGACUCCUACGGGAGGCAGCAGUAGGGAAUAUUGGACAAUGGGGGCAACCCUGAUCCAGCCAUGCCGCGUGUGUGAAGAAGGCCUUCGGGUUGUAAAGCACUUUCAGUAGGGAGGAAGGCUCUAUGGUUAAUAGCUAUGGGGAUUGACGUUACCUACAGAAGCAGCACCGGCUAACUCCGUGCCAGCAGCCGCGGUAAUACGGAGAGUGCAAGCGUUAAUCGGAAUUACUGGGCGUAAAGCGCGCGUAGGCGGUUUGAUAAGUUGGAUGUGAAAGCCCAGGGCUCAACCUUGGAACUGCAUUCAAAACUGUCAGGCUAGAGUACUGUAGAGGGGGGUAGAAUUUCA
RNAcentral lists this ribosomal RNA (684 nucleotides) under uncultured Vibrionaceae bacterium. RNAcentral describes it as "bacterial SSU rRNA". It matches the Rfam family "Bacterial small subunit ribosomal RNA", at positions 1 to 671 of the family's 1533-position model. Lineage: Bacteria; Pseudomonadati; Pseudomonadota; Gammaproteobacteria; Vibrionales; Vibrionaceae. The record is from RNAcentral.